GGCUGAAAGUGGCUGGUUGCGGGUCGAGCUGUUUCUCAAAGUACACCCGAGAGGUUCUGAGUCAUUGCGGUCCGGAGUGGGACUAGGCGUGUGUAUUACACUCGACUGCCUUCUCCUGUGAGAAGCUUUUGAAGGAUGUUUUGAAGCAAAUUUACCCCCUUACCAACUCGGCGGAACACCUGAGGUGACCCCGAUCCGAGGGCCCCCGUACCGGAUGAAGUCCUGGCAUCGGAGGUUGGGUUCUUCACCAGAGAUAUCAACAAAGUACAAAUUUCCACAGGGCGUCAGACCCCCAUCCUCCCCCACCCCCUUGUUUUCUCUAUUUUAGGGACUGAGAGGGACUUUGUUUCCCUUUAAAGGUACCAAGAUUCCAGACACCACCCUCCGCCCUCCAUUCCGAAUCCUGAGGUUUAAUUUGCCAUUGAUAUUUAUGGAAUGGUGAGGCCUUUUUGCAUCAUGUUAAGGGACAAUUAAAGACAUUUUCAGAUGACAAACAAAAACAGGGAGUUAACCACCAUCGGCCCUCACUAAGGAAACUUCUGAAGUAUUUACCUAAGAAAGAAGGAAACUGAACCCAAAAGGAAAUAGUAAGAUGCAAGAAGAGAUGUCUUCAAGCCAUUUGGAGGAAGAGCAAGGUGCCUGCAAUGAAGAGAAGGACUGGUGGCCCAGAGUGGAAUGUCUCUUGUAUUCCCUGCU
Molecule: long non-coding RNA, 696 nt
Organism: Cynocephalus volans (Philippine flying lemur)
Lineage: Eukaryota; Metazoa; Chordata; Mammalia; Dermoptera; Cynocephalidae
Exons: 3
Source: RefSeq, a predicted model, not a curated record